This 503-nucleotide ribosomal RNA is filed under the name uncultured bacterium. RNAcentral's name for it is "partial 16S ribosomal RNA". It matches the Rfam family "Bacterial small subunit ribosomal RNA", at positions 28 to 523 of the family's 1533-position model. The record is from RNAcentral.
GAUGAACGCUGGCGGCGUGCCUAAUACAUGCAAGUCGAACGAAGAUCUAGCUUGCUAGAUCUUAGUGGCGAACGGGUGAGUAAUACAUAAAUAAUCUGCCCAUAUGACUGGGAUAACUAUUGGAAACGAUAGCUAAUACCGGAUAGGUUGAUCGGAGGCAUCUCUGAUGAAUUAAAGUAGGAUUUCUACACAAAUGGAUGAGUUUAUGGCGCAUUAGUUAGUUGGUGGGGUAACGGCCUACCAAGACGAUGAUGCGUAGCCGACCUGAGAGGGUGACCGGCGACACUGGGACUGGGACACGGCCCAGACUCCUACGGGAGGCAGAAGUAGGGAAUUUUCGGCAAUGGGCGCAAGCCUGACCGAGCAACGCCGCGUGAGUGAUUAAGGCCUUCGGGUUGUAAAGCUCUGUUGUAAGGGAAGAACAUGCAGGAUAGGAAAUGAUCUUGAACUGACGGUACCUUACCAGAAAGCCACGGCUAACUACGUGCCAGCAGCCGCGGUAA